This 411-nucleotide ribosomal RNA is filed under the name Rhyothemis fuliginosa. RNAcentral's name for it is "partial 16S ribosomal RNA". The stretch from base 1 to 207 matches the Rfam family "Archaeal large subunit ribosomal RNA", at positions 1889 to 2143 of the family's 2987-position model. The record is from RNAcentral. Lineage: Eukaryota; Metazoa; Arthropoda; Insecta; Odonata; Libellulidae.
CGCCUGUUUAACAAAAACAUGUCCUUUUGAAUUUAAUUGAAGGUCUGACCUGCCCAGUGAUUAAUUUAACGGCCGCGGUAUACUGACCGUGCAAAGGUAGCAUAAUCAUUAGUCUUUUAAUAGAGGGCUGGAAUGAAAGGUUUGACGAGGAAUUGACUGUCUCAUUUUAUUUGUUUUAGAAUUUAAUUUUUUAGUCAAAAAGCUAAAAUGUAGUUGGAAGACGAGAAGACCCUAUAGAUCUUUAUAUAAUGUUAUUUAAUUAUUUUAAUAUUAAUAUAUUUAAAUUAUGAUUAUAUUUUGUUGGGGUGACAAAAAUAUAUAAUUAACUUUUUUAUCUAUUUACCAUUGAUAAAUGUAUACUAGAUCCAUUCAUAGUGAUUGAUAGAAUAAGUUACCUUAGGGAUAACAGCG